AGAGAAGAAGGGCCAAGGCACAGGCGCAGGGGGCUCCCUUCUGCCAAGAUCAACAGACUGGGCCACAGCAACGCGUGGCAGGGGACAGCUAGUCUGCUAUAAAUUAAUAACCUUCCAUCCAGCUCUUAACCAGAUCCAACUUGGUUAACUUUCGAAAUCAGGAAAAAACACUUGCCACCCUUACUUCCUGUCCUGUGGAUCCAAAGCACAGAAAAUAACAGUGUUGACUGGAUAGUGCC
Anolis sagrei ordinatus is the source of this 239-nucleotide long non-coding RNA. RefSeq lists it as uncharacterized. The record is from RefSeq and is a predicted model, not a curated record. Lineage: Eukaryota; Metazoa; Chordata; Lepidosauria; Squamata; Anolidae.